CUUAGUGUAGUCUCUCUCUCGAUUUUUUCUUGUUGCGGGAGCUCCGCGUUGUGCAGGCUGUUUUUUCCUUCUUGCUUGUAGCUGGGAGCUCGAACUGCUGAGGGACGGGGGAUGACGUUGCAGUACGGCGGUUGACUUUAGCUUGUGAUGGUAUUGUUGGCUGCGGAAAUGUGUAGCCUUGUCUAGCGGAGGUGCGUUCUAUGUAGUUUGUGCUGCGGUGCGGCCUGUGUUGUUUUCGGCAAGCUGGCGGCCGUGUCAACACAGGUCUUUCCUGUUAAGCUGGUUGCUGAUCUCGGCGGCCCUGCGAUUACGGCGUUUUUUUGUUCUCAAGGCUCUCUGGCUCUACGGGUUCGAUGAGGCGCUGGUUGUGAAACCAGGAAGCUGUUGUUGUUAGCUGGCGGAGCAAUGCGGAGUGCUAGUCGCUGGAUUGGACUAGCGCAGUGUGUGGUGGUAUAGAAACUGCGGCUGAAGGGAGCGGGAUCAAGCUGCCAUUCUCCUGCAGCUCUUGUCGUCAUUUGUCGGGUUAUACCUCCCUGACAAUUGUCACCCUGCUUCUCUCUUGUGGAGUUUUGGGAAUCUAGAGUUACAGUUUUUAGUUGUUGUGGCAUUAUCCCUUGAUUCUGUUUUUCUCGUCGUCGGUUGCGAUGGAGCACCGAAGCGAUCUCCUUCAAUUUUUGGUUAUUCUUUUAGUUCAUGCAAAGGAGUCGUGACACUCCUACGCUAACCCUUUGUUUUACUUCCUUCUGUUAUUCUUAUUAGUUAUAGUUGAUUGACGGACGGUUUAGUCCUUUCCAUUCGUUAACUGGAACUAUAGCGCUGCUGGUAAUCUCACUAUCGUUGAAGUGGGGCUACGACGGUAGAAGUGCUGGAGCUGCGUUAUAAGUGGCAAAGAGCGGCGUCGUCUUCCGUUUUUGGUCCUGCGAUGGAGGUGGUUGUUGUCUGCGGGGGUUGCUGUUCUUAAUUCUCUGGUUUCGUCGGUGGCGGCACGGUCGAGGUUGGAGCAGAGCCUGGUGGUUCCUACAACGUGCGGCAAGAGUUAUACUGCUAUAGCUGUGUAUGUUCUAGUUUUUUUGUGGCGUGCAGCGGUUCAGGCAAGAUGGUCGACUGUUGCAACGGUGGAUUGCGGCCAGAGCUCGCACAUGCAAAGCAUCCCUGUUUUCCUUGGCCUCGAGUGUGUGUUGCUUGCGAAAGCCGCGGCCUCAUCAACUGCGGUGCGGGCGGUGGCGGGAUUACUUACGUAGAGAACUGUUAAGCAGUUGGUUUAUCGUCCCUCCUUAGGCGAAACUCAUCAAUUGUUGUGGAGUAGGUGGAAGCCAAGGGAUUCUGGUUUUUUUGUUGUUUUUUCCUUGCGACGAACCGUUGGAUCAUUGGUGACUGAGGAUAACUACAUCCACUUAUUCAUGGCUUGUCGACUAUAGCGGGUGCAAUUUUGAAGGGAGCGUGCUUUGACUGGUCAAGAAUUAGAGAGGGUUGGAGUUGUGGAGCUGCUACAAGUUGAAAAAAUUGAAGUUGCAGUUUAGGAGUGGUGGAUUUUCGAUCGAAUGGCAAACUGGAUCGGAGGCCCUUCAAGAAUUGUUGCUCUGUAGGCAAUCCGUAAGUAGCGAGAACCUGUGUAUUGCAGUUGCACAUGGACGAAUCUUGAAGUAAAUGAAGGUAAGGUAAGAAUGGAUGAAUAUAGUUGGAUGACCUUUUUAUAUCAAGGAUGAAUUUCAAUCACAGAUUAAAUUUUUUAGAUGAAA
Physcomitrium patens is the source of this 1739-nucleotide non-coding RNA. NCBI's taxonomy places the organism in Eukaryota, Viridiplantae, Streptophyta, Bryopsida, Funariales, Funariaceae. The record is from RefSeq and is a predicted model, not a curated record.